AAGAUUAAUACCGCAUAAGAUUGUAGUAUCGCAUGAUAUAGCAAUUAAAAGGAAGCAAUUCGCUAUAAGAUGGACCCGCGUCGCAUUAGCUAGUUGGUGAGGUAAUGGCUCGCCAAGGCGACGAUGCGUAGCCGACCUGAGAGGGUGAUCGGCCACAUUGGGACUGAGACACGGCCCAGACUCCUACGGGAGGCAGCAUG
This 200-nucleotide ribosomal RNA is filed under the name uncultured bacterium. Its description in RNAcentral is "partial 16S ribosomal RNA". It matches the Rfam family "Bacterial small subunit ribosomal RNA", at positions 159 to 353 of the family's 1533-position model. The record is from RNAcentral.